AUUGAACGCUAGCGGGAUGCUUUACACAUGCAAGUCGAACGAGUGGCGGACGGGUGAGUUAUAUAUCUGAACGUGCCCAGUAGAGGGGGAUAACUACUCGAACGAGUGGCUACUACCGCAUACUAUUGCAGCGGCCGAUAUCGGAUUAGCUAGUUGGUGGGGUAAAGGCUUACCAGGGACACGAUCCGUCGCUGGUUUGAGAGGACGAUCAGCCACACUGGAACUGAGACACGGCCCAGACUCCUACGGGAGGCAGCAGUGGGGAAUGUUGGACAAUGGGCGAAAGCCUGAUCCAGCCAUCCCGCGUGUAUGAGAAGGCCUUCGGGUUGUAAAGCACUUUUGGUAGAGAGGCGGUAUCUGCAGAAGAAGCACCGGCUAACUACGUGCCAACAGCCGCGGUAAUAC
RNAcentral lists this ribosomal RNA (405 nucleotides) under uncultured bacterium. Its description in RNAcentral is "partial 16S ribosomal RNA". It matches the Rfam family "Bacterial small subunit ribosomal RNA", at positions 30 to 526 of the family's 1533-position model. The record is from RNAcentral.